RNAcentral lists this ribosomal RNA (2900 nucleotides) under Shigella sonnei 53G. RNAcentral describes it as "bacterial LSU rRNA". It matches the Rfam family "Bacterial large subunit ribosomal RNA". The record is from RNAcentral. Lineage: Bacteria; Pseudomonadati; Pseudomonadota; Gammaproteobacteria; Enterobacterales; Enterobacteriaceae.
UUAAGCGACUAAGCGUACACGGUGGAUGCCCUGGCAGUCAGAGGCGAUGAAGGACGUGCUAAUCUGCGAUAAGCGUCGGUAAGGUGAUAUGAACCGUUAUAACCGGCGAUUUCCGAAUGGGGAAACCCAGUGUGAUUCGUCACACUAUCAUUAACUGAAUCCAUAGGUUAAUGAGGCGAACCGGGGAACUGAAACAUCUAAGUACCCCGAGGAAAAGAAAUCAACCGAGAUUCCCCCAGUAGCGGCGAGCGGACGGGGAGCAGCCCAGAGCCUGAAUCAGUGUGUGUGUUAGUGGAAGCGUCUGGAAAGGCGUGCGAUACAGGGUGACAGCCCCGUACACAAAAAUGCACAUAUUGUGAGCUUGAUGAGUAGGGCGGGACACGUGGUAUCCUGUCUGAAUAUGGGGGGACCAUCCUCCAAGGCUAAAUACUCCUGACUGACCGAUAGUGAACCAGUACCGUGAGGGAAAGGCGAAAAGAACCCCGGCGAGGGGAGUGAAAAAGAACCUGAAACCGUGUACGUACAAGCAGUGGGAGCACGCUUAGGCGUGUGACUGCGUACCUUUUGUAUAAUGGGUCAGCGACUUAUAUUCUGUAGCAAGGUUAACCGAAUAGGGGAGCCGAAGGGAAACCGAGUCUUAACUGGGCGUUAAGUUGCAGGGUAUAGACCCGAAACCCGGUGAUCUAGCCAUGGGCAGGUUGAAGGUUGGGUAACACUAACUGGAGGACCGAACCGACUAAUGUUGAAAAAUUAGCGGAUGACUUGUGGCUGGGGGUGAAAGGCCAAUCAAACCGGGAGAUAGCUGGUUCUCCCCGAAAGCUAUUUAGGUAGCGCCUCGUGAAUUCAUCUCCGGGGGUAGAGCACUGUUUCGGCAAGGGGGUCAUCCCGACUUACCAACCCGAUGCAAACUGCGAAUACCGGAGAAUGUUAUCACGGGAGACACACGGCGGGUGCUAACGUCCGUCGUGAAGAGGGAAACAACCCAGACCGCCAGCUAAGGUCCCAAAGUCAUGGUUAAGUGGGAAACGAUGUGGGAAGGCCCAGACAGCCAGGAUGUUGGCUUAGAAGCAGCCAUCAUUUAAAGAAAGCGUAAUAGCUCACUGGUCGAGUCGGCCUGCGCGGAAGAUGUAACGGGGCUAAACCAUGCACCGAAGCUGCGGCAGCGACGCUUAUGCGUUGUUGGGUAGGGGAGCGUUCUGUAAGCCUGCGAAGGUGUGCUGUGAGGCAUGCUGGAGGUAUCAGAAGUGCGAAUGCUGACAUAAGUAACGAUAAAGCGGGUGAAAAGCCCGCUCGCCGGAAGACCAAGGGUUCCUGUCCAACGUUAAUCGGGGCAGGGUGAGUCGACCCCUAAGGCGAGGCCGAAAGGCGUAGUCGAUGGGAAACAGGUUAAUAUUCCUGUACUUGGUGUUACUGCGAAGGGGGACGGAGAAGGCUAUGUUGGCCGGGCGACGGUUGUCCCGGUUUAAGCGUGUAGGCUGGUUUUCCAGGCAAAUCCGGAAAAUCAAGGCUGAGGCGUGAUGACGAGGCACUACGGUGCUGAAGCAACAAAUGCCCUGCUUCCAGGAAAAGCCUCUAAGCAUCAGGUAACAUCAAAUCGUACCCCAAACCGACACAGGUGGUCAGGUAGAGAAUACCAAGGCGCUUGAGAGAACUCGGGUGAAGGAACUAGGCAAAAUGGUGCCGUAACUUCGGGAGAAGGCACGCUGAUAUGUAGGUGAAGUCCCUCGCGGAUGGAGCUGAAAUCAGUCGAAGAUACCAGCUGGCUGCAACUGUUUAUUAAAAACACAGCACUGUGCAAACACGAAAGUGGACGUAUACGGUGUGACGCCUGCCCGGUGCCGGAAGGUUAAUUGAUGGGGUCAGCGCAAGCGAAGCUCUUGAUCGAAGCCCCGGUAAACGGCGGCCGUAACUAUAACGGUCCUAAGGUAGCGAAAUUCCUUGUCGGGUAAGUUCCGACCUGCACGAAUGGCGUAAUGAUGGCCAGGCUGUCUCCACCCGAGACUCAGUGAAAUUGAACUCGCUGUGAAGAUGCAGUGUACCCGCGGCAAGACGGAAAGACCCCGUGAACCUUUACUAUAGCUUGACACUGAACAUUGAGCCUUGAUGUGUAGGAUAGGUGGGAGGCUUUGAAGUGUGGACGCCAGUCUGCAUGGAGUCGACCUUGAAAUACCACCCUUUAAUGUUUGAUGUUCUAACGUGGACCCGUGAUCCGGGUUGCGGACAGUGUCUGGUGGGUAGUUUGACUGGGGCGGUCUCCUCCUAAAGAGUAACGGAGGAGCACGAAGGUUGGCUAAUCCUGGUCGGACAUCAGGAGGUUAGUGCAAUGGCAUAAGCCAGCUUGACUGCGAGCGUGACGGCGCGAGCAGGUGCGAAAGCAGGUCAUAGUGAUCCGGUGGUUCUGAAUGGAAGGGCCAUCGCUCAACGGAUAAAAGGUACUCCGGGGAUAACAGGCUGAUACCGCCCAAGAGUUCAUAUCGACGGCGGUGUUUGGCACCUCGAUGUCGGCUCAUCACAUCCUGGGGCUGAAGUAGGUCCCAAGGGUAUGGCUGUUCGCCAUUUAAAGUGGUACGCGAGCUGGGUUUAGAACGUCGUGAGACAGUUCGGUCCCUAUCUGCCGUGGGCGCUGGAGAACUGAGGGGGGCUGCUCCUAGUACGAGAGGACCGGAGUGGACGCAUCACUGGUGUUCGGGUUGUCAUGCCAAUGGCACUGCCCGGUAGCUAAAUGCGGAAGAGAUAAGUGCUGAAAGCAUCUAAGCACGAAACUUGCCCCGAGAUGAGUUCUCCCUGACCCUUUAAGGGUCCUGAAGGAACGUUGAAGACGACGACGUUGAUAGGCCGGGUGUGUAAGCGCAGCGAUGCGUUGAGCUAACCGGUACUAAUGAACCGUGAGGCUUAACCUU